GACGAACGCUGGCGGCGUGCUUAACACAUGCAAGUCGAACGGAAAGGCCCUGCUUGCAGGGUACUCGAGUGGCGAACGGGUGAGUAACACGUGGGUGAUCUGCCCUGCACUUCGGGAUAAGCCUGGGAAACUGGUUCUAAUACCGGAUAGGAGCCAUUUUUAGUGUGAUGGUUGGAAAGUUUUUUCGGUGUAGGAUGAGCUCGCGGCCUAUCAGCUUGUUGGUGGGGUAAUGGCCUACCAAGGGGGCAACGGGUAGGCGGCCCGAGAGGGUGGACGGCCACAUUGGGACUGAGAGACGGCCCAGACUCCUACGGGAGGCAGCAGUGGGGAAAAUUGCACAAUGGGCGCAAGCCUGAUGCAGCGACGCCGCGUGGGGGAUGACGGCCUUCGGGUUGUAAACUCCUUUCGCUAGGGACGAAGCUUUUUGUGACGGUACCUAGAUAAGAAGCACCGGCUAACUACGUG
This 465-nucleotide ribosomal RNA is filed under the name uncultured bacterium. Its description in RNAcentral is "partial 16S ribosomal RNA". It matches the Rfam family "Bacterial small subunit ribosomal RNA", at positions 28 to 507 of the family's 1533-position model. The record is from RNAcentral.